Molecule: long non-coding RNA, 454 nt
Organism: Rhinopithecus roxellana (golden snub-nosed monkey)
Lineage: Eukaryota; Metazoa; Chordata; Mammalia; Primates; Cercopithecidae
Exons: 2
Source: RefSeq, a predicted model, not a curated record
ACUGCAAGACCGAGCCAGCGGCAUGGACGGUUCUGGGUGAUGUGGCACCAAGGCAGGAGGAGUGUGGAAUUUUAGGAAUUGCCAGGAGGCCUCAGAGUCUCUAGGCAGGGCUGGAGGGACCAACAGUGCUGGAGAAGGGGUCAGUGAGGGUCUUAUAAGAGCCUCUGUCCCCCAGCUCUCUACCUCCGACCCAAACUGCAAACCACAGGCAAAAAGAAGUUCCUAAAGCGCCGCGUUUUGCUGAGGCUUGCUCCCGCUCGAAAGUCUUCGGUGGCACCUCACUGCUUAUGAACAAAUGUCCAACUUCCAGUCAGGCCUUCUGGAAACUGAGACCACGGGAGUCGCCACCCCCUCCCUUCCUGUACCGCCCAAGGAUAAUCCCGUGCUCCCAAGAGUGAAAGGACAGAAACCCCCUAAAUGACUGCCACCAGCAAAAUGUACAAAUAAAUUCCAA